This 405-nucleotide ribosomal RNA is filed under the name uncultured bacterium. RNAcentral's name for it is "bacterial SSU rRNA". It matches the Rfam family "Bacterial small subunit ribosomal RNA", at positions 355 to 776 of the family's 1533-position model. The record is from RNAcentral.
UAAAGAGUCUUCCGCAAUGGACGAAAGUCUGACGGAGCGAUACCGCGUGAACGAUGAAGGUCGUAAGAUUGUAAAGUUCUUUUCUGGGGGAAGAAUUCUGACGGUACCCUAGGAAUAAGCACCGGCUAACUCCGUGCCAGCAGCCGCGGUAAUACGGAGGGUGCAAGCGUUACCCGGAAUUAUUGGGCGUAAAGCGUACGCAGGUGGUUUGUUAAGUCGAAUAUUAAAUCUUGAAGCUCAACUUCAAGGCUGUGUUUGAAACUGGCAGACUGGAGACUUCCAGAGGCAUGUGGAAUUCUGUGUGUAGGGGUAAAAUCCGUAGAUACACGGAAGAACACCAAAAGCGAAGGCAGCAUGCUGGGGAAGUUCUGACACUUAUGUACGAAAGCGUGGGGAGCAAACGGG